ACGAAUACAAAUUUCGCAUUGCUUAGAAUCAAAAUCACUACUAGAAAAAUCCGAAAACUGCAACAUCUUCAAAGCUUUAGAGGAAGGAUGUCCUAGACGUUAAUGCCACAGCUGAGUAGAUGAUGAGCUUGUGGUUGUCAUCGCCACUGCUAUUUCCACUCCUCUAAAAAAAUACAAACCGUGCUGCUGCCUACCAGCUCCAAUCAGCAUCUUUGUGGUGCGGUCCUGAAUAAUACAGACUUUAU
Molecule: long non-coding RNA, 245 nt
Filed under: Arabidopsis lyrata
Lineage: Eukaryota; Viridiplantae; Streptophyta; Magnoliopsida; Brassicales; Brassicaceae
Description: long non-coding RNA (ALYR_LNC000492)
Source: RNAcentral